GCGCCUGACACUUUGACUCAAACCU
RNAcentral lists this microRNA (25 nucleotides) under Capitella teleta. RNAcentral describes it as "Cte-Mir-87-P1_5p* (star (passenger))". Lineage: Eukaryota; Metazoa; Annelida; Polychaeta; Capitellidae. The record is from RNAcentral.